UUGAUGAAAUGUGGCGAGUUUCCUCAUAUCGUCCAGUUCUACACUAAAGCACAUGAAGAUUUGACUUGUGUUCAGUGGCUGCAAGAGGUUCCCAAACCACAUUCCUGCAUGCUGUCUCCUUAAUCAAACACACUUGAUUCGGAUCAUCAGCUCAUUAGUAGAGACUCCAAGACCUGAAAUGGGUGUCAGACAAAGAAGAGAUGCAAAUGUGCAGUGUUGGGUGGGACGUGGUUGGGAACCACUGCUGUAGGCCAAAAAUAUGUCAUCAAGCCAACUAAACACCGUUACAGUGAUUUUUAUUACAGGGAACAGGUGCGGCAACACACCCUUAAACCAGCGUUUCCACUGCAUAAAUCCUUCCUGGAGAUGAACACCAGUCUCCCUGAACCAGAUCAUAUCCAGAACUUCUCUUUUCCGAGGGGCCGUGUUUCACAUGGCAUCAUAAUGCUGUUUGACAAAAGGAGCCGUUUGAGAUGGCACACGGCCAGACACUUUGAACAGGAGCCAGGUGCAUGUUGGGAUGCUUUAGACAGGGUGAGAAUGACACUUGCUGUGAAAGCAGGUUGAAACAACCACCAAGGCCAUGUAGCCGAAACCAGUGAGACUCCACAGUCUGUGUUCAUCUCUAGUGGCAUUACAACUAUUAACACGUUAAAACAAUAGCAACACUCUCAUAACCACACUCAGGUUCAGAAAUUAUGGAUCGGAUCUCUAAGGAGAUAAAGUGAGAUGUAACUGUGAAUGACAGACAGGAAUCAUGUGCUUGAAAAUGUUUGCUAGCGGCCUGAUGGGACAUUCGGAUAUGAGAUGAUGAUGGUAGAGAAAGAGGAAGUAAAACUUGAGCCACAGCGCCACCUAGUGUACGCCAAAAGAUAAGCAUAAAAGCAGGCAGAGAUCAGCGCGUCAGGAGCAGAACUCUGUGGAAACAUCUCACUGCCAGGUUAAGAUCUUUUGUGUUAUCGGUGC
Cyprinus carpio (common carp) is the source of this 966-nucleotide long non-coding RNA. RefSeq lists it as uncharacterized. The transcript is spliced from 3 exons. The record is from RefSeq and is a predicted model, not a curated record. NCBI's taxonomy places the organism in Eukaryota, Metazoa, Chordata, Actinopteri, Cypriniformes, Cyprinidae.